RNAcentral lists this ribosomal RNA (1397 nucleotides) under Pseudomonas sp. 3296. RNAcentral describes it as "partial 23S ribosomal RNA". It matches the Rfam family "Bacterial large subunit ribosomal RNA", at positions 1552 to 2925 of the family's 2925-position model. The record is from RNAcentral. Lineage: Bacteria; Pseudomonadati; Pseudomonadota; Gammaproteobacteria; Pseudomonadales; Pseudomonadaceae.
AAGGCCGAGAGCUGAUGACGAGUGUUCUUUUAGAACACGAAGUGGUUGAUGCCAUGCUUCCAAGAAAAGCUUCUAAGCUUCAGGUAACCAGGAACCGUACCCCAAACCGACACAGGUGGUUGGGUAGAGAAUACCAAGGCGCUUGAGAGAACUCGGGUGAAGGAACUAGGCAAAAUGGCACCGUAACUUCGGGAGAAGGUGCGCCGGUGAGGGUGAAGCAUUUACUGCGUAAGCCCAUGCCGGUCGAAGAUACCAGGCCGCUGCGACUGUUUAUUAAAAACACAGCACUCUGCAAACACGAAAGUGGACGUAUAGGGUGUGACGCCUGCCCGGUGCCGGAAGGUUAAUUGAUGGGGUUAGCUAACGCGAAGCUCUUGAUCGAAGCCCCGGUAAACGGCGGCCGUAACUAUAACGGUCCUAAGGUAGCGAAAUUCCUUGUCGGGUAAGUUCCGACCUGCACGAAUGGCGUAACGAUGGCGGCGCUGUCUCCACCCGAGACUCAGUGAAAUUGAAAUCGCUGUGAAGAUGCAGUGUAUCCGCGGCUAGACGGAAAGACCCCGUGAACCUUUACUAUAGCUUUGCACUGGACUUUGAAUUUGCUUGUGUAGGAUAGGUGGGAGGCUUUGAAGCGUGGACGCCAGUUCGCGUGGAGCCAACCUUGAAAUACCACCCUGGCAACUUUGAGGUUCUAACUCAGGUCCGUUAUCCGGAUCGAGGACAGUGUAUGGUGGGUAGUUUGACUGGGGCGGUCUCCUCCUAAAGAGUAACGGAGGAGUACGAAGGUGCGCUCAGACCGGUCGGAAAUCGGUCGUAGAGUAUAAAGGCAAAAGCGCGCUUGACUGCGAGACAGACACGUCGAGCAGGUACGAAAGUAGGUCUUAGUGAUCCGGUGGUUCUGUAUGGAAGGGCCAUCGCUCAACGGAUAAAAGGUACUCCGGGGAUAACAGGCUGAUACCGCCCAAGAGUUCAUAUCGACGGCGGUGUUUGGCACCUCGAUGUCGGCUCAUCACAUCCUGGGGCUGAAGCCGGUCCCAAGGGUAUGGCUGUUCGCCAUUUAAAGUGGUACGCGAGCUGGGUUUAGAACGUCGUGAGACAGUUCGGUCCCUAUCUGCCGUGGACGUUUGAGAUUUGAGAGGGGCUGCUCCUAGUACGAGAGGACCGGAGUGGACGAACCUCUGGUGUUCCGGUUGUCACGCCAGUGGCAUUGCCGGGUAGCUAUGUUCGGAAUAGAUAACCGCUGAAAGCAUCUAAGCGGGAAACUAGCCUCAAGAUGAGAUCUCACUGGGACCUUGAGUCCCCUGAAGGGCCGUCGAAGACUACGACGUUGAUAGGUUGGGUGUGUAAGCGCUGUGAGGCGUUGAGCUAACCAAUACUAAUUGCCCGUGAGGCUUGACCAU